This is an RNA transcript of Nannospalax galili (Upper Galilee mountains blind mole rat), 4787 nucleotides long. It is a transcript of the gene named NSF attachment protein beta, with no coding region annotated. The transcript has 12 exons. Lineage: Eukaryota; Metazoa; Chordata; Mammalia; Rodentia; Spalacidae. The record is from RefSeq and is a predicted model, not a curated record.
AAGGCUUGGCGCGCUGCGUCCGCGGGUCCACACCGGCGAACGGAAGGGCGAAGGCGCCCUGGGCGUGUCGCAAGCCUGCGGAGGAGGCUUUGGCGGCUGCGGGCAACAUGGACAACGCAGGGAAGGAGCGAGAAGCGGUGCAGCUGAUGGCGGAAGCCGAGAAACGGGUGAAGGCCUCUCACUCCUUCCUCCGAGGGUUGUUCGGAGGAAACACAAGAAUAGAAGAGGCCUGUGAAAUGUACACUAGGGCUGCAAACAUGUUCAAGAUGGCCAAGAGCUGGAGUGCUGCAGGAAAUGCAUUUUGUCAAGCCGCCAAGCUCCACAUGCAGCUUCAGAGCAAGCACGACUCUGCUACCAGCUUCGUGGAUGCUGGAAACGCUUACAAGAAGGCAGAUCCUCAAGAGGCUAUCAACUGCUUAAAUGCAGCCAUCGACAUUUACACAGACAUGGGAAGGUUUACAAUUGCAGCCAAGCACCACAUCACUAUUGCUGAGAUCUAUGAGACGGAGCUUGUGGACAUUGAGAAGGCUAUUGCACAUUAUGAACAAUCUGCUGAUUAUUACAAAGGUGAAGAAUCCAACAGCUCAGCCAACAAGUGUCUGCUGAAGGUAGCAGCGUACGCUGCGCAGCUGGAACAGUACCAGAAAGCCAUCGAGAUCUAUGAGCAGGUUGGGGCAAACACUAUGGAUAAUCCCUUGUUGAAGUACAGUGCAAAGGAUUACUUCUUCAAAGCAGCACUCUGUCACUUCAUAGUGGACGAGCUGAAUGCCAAGCUUGCUCUUGAGAAAUAUGAGGAAAUGUUUCCGGCAUUUACUGAUUCCAGAGAAUGUAAAUUAUUGAAAAAACUUUUAGAAGCUCAUGAAGAACAGAACAGUGAUGCUUACACAGAAGCAUCAUAUCAACUGUUCCUAAAUGUUGCCAUGUACAAGUUCACUACAGAGAAGAAUUCAGUGCAGGGGCUCAUGGCACUAUUGGUGUAGUCAGAGGAUAAAGGAAGAGGAAACUCUUUUGGAUGAAGAAAGCUACAGAUUAGAAUGACUAAAUUCUAAUCAAAGCUGGUGAAGGAGUUUGACUCAAUAUCACGCUUGGAUCAGUGGCUGACCACCAUGUUGCUUCGUAUCAAGAAGUCCAUCCAAGGGGACGGAGAAGGAGACGGAGACCUCAAGUGAAAUGUUGACCUUUGUGGCACGCAGCUCGUUCCUCUUUAGUUUUGUCUGUGGGCAAAGUAAUCUUUCUAGAAGGGAUGCUCAUCUAAUGACUUAAUUUUCUUAUAAAUAAGCCACAUGGUUUAUAUAUUGUUUCAGCUUGCCAUGUCUGUGUUACUGUUAGAAUGGGAGGCUUUUGUUCAGGUUGUGGUUAUGACAACCAAAGUAUAUGCCAUGCUUACCAGAGUCCUCAUAACUUUCUGAGUACUGCUGAAUCAUUCCUGUUCUUUUGAUAUUUACAGAGCCCAUGUUUAAUAUUGCCACAUGUUUUAUUUUCCUUAAACUCUGGAACUCAGCCCAGUUAUUUCAUAGAUGCUUUGCAAAGACCCCAUGCACUGAUAUCUGGAUGUACCCUCCAUGUGUAUGGUUUAGUUUAGGGUAGUUAUUAGGAAUGACUUGUUAACUUCAUUAGAAACUGGUUUUGUUUUGUGACUAUUUUGAUGGUGCUAGUGAUGAGUUUAUUUGCUUUUUGUUAGUGUGCUCACGUGUGCAUGGCAAACACAGAGCAACUGAGAACUGUCAUCACUUUCUUCAUAGGAAGGAGCUUGCUGCCAGUUUCUGUUUCUCUGGGGAUGAAUGUCAAGGAGGAAUUUUACUGUUUUUUGGGUUGGUUUUUUUUUUAACUUACACACAAAAGAUGAGGAAUGAAAUUUUUCCCUUCCCAGAAAAAAAAUUCAUUUUUAUUUGGAAUGGGAAUCCCUCUCUUCUUAUUUGCAUAAAGAUGUCUUAAUUGACAUCUCCUUUAUUUUUAUAUUUAUACAUGCCCCUCAUAGUCUUCUGGACCAUGGUCAUGCCAGUCUUGAUCAGAGCUGGACAGAGGAUGCCAGCCAAAGCUUGAGGCUGUGUGUGGUGGUUAAGUGGUAUCAGUAUGGCACAGGAAGAGUAUGUUAUGCCUGAUUGGGCAAGAACCUCACUUGUGUCUCAGGAGCCCUGUUUUUUCCUCUAAGCUAGAGUGAUUUUUCUCUAAGCUGGAGUGAUUUCAGCUGUGUGAACUCUGUCCUGUUAAAGUGUGUGCUGUCUUGAUUUAAGAGUUCAAGCCUCCCUGGUACUUAUAUGCUGAUACUGUACUGUAGACAUGGUCUUGCUUCUUGAGUCUCCUGUGCAUAUUUUUAAUGCUGUGAUAAUUUGUGUUUGAAGUACAUAUGUUAUGAGAAAUAACUCACAGUCCCAAUGUUCUGCUGUCGUUAGUGACAGAUAAUGAAACUCCUGUUUCAUCAGGUAGGAAGCUUUGGAAGACCCUUUGGAAGAUGGGAGUUGGAAGCUAUUAUUGUGUAGAAGUAAAGUGCCUGGCGAGGCCUGAGACCAAGCAAGAAGAGCUUGAAGACUGGUGAGAAAGGUCUGUCAGGAGUGAAAGUAGCCGGAGGUGAGGUUGAAACGAGCCUGAUGAGGGCAGGUGAUGGAGAUGUGUGCCAGACUCUGUGAGGGCAGGUGAUGGAGGUCUGUGUCAGGCUCUGUGAGGGCAGGUGAUGGAGGUCUGUGUCAGGCUCUGGAGGGCAGGUGAUGGAGGUCUGCAUCAGGCUCUGUGAGGACAGGUGAUGGAGGUCUGUGUCAGGCUGUGAGAGCAGGUGAUGGAGGUCUGUGUCAGGCUCUGUGAGGGCAGGUGAUGGAGGUCUGUGUCAGGCUCUGGAGGGCAGGUGAUGGAGGUCUGCAUCAGGCUCUGUGAGGACAGGUGAUGGAGGUCUGUGUCAGGCUGUGAGAGCAGGUGAUGGAGGUCUGUGUCAGGCUCUGUGAGGGCAGGUGAUGGAGGUCUGUGUCAGGCUCUGUGAGGGCAGGUGAUGGAGGUCUGUGUCAGGCUCUGUGAGGGCAGGUGAUGGAGGUCUGUGUCAGGCUCUGUGAGGACAGGUGAUGGAGGUCUGUGUAAGACUCUGUGAGGACAGGUGGUGGAGGUCUGUGUUAGACUCUGUGAGGGUAGGUGAUGGAGGUCUGUGUCAGGCUCUUUGAGGACUCAGUGGCCCCAGUCAUGGUGGUGACACAGUAGGAAGCCCAGCAGUCUCUGCAUGUCUGGGGGUAGAGGGAAUGUGCCCUGGAAUCUAAUGAGGAUUCCUUUUUUCUUCAUUUUUUUUCUAAGUUCCUGAAUGAAAGCUGGCUGCACCAAAGGUAAAGUUUGCAGUGCAGUCAGUUUGUCCUUCUUGACUCCACUAGACUCUCUUAUGAAAACAAUGAAUAGAGAAAAGUAAGUUUGCUGUACUCACUUUAUUCUGCAGCAAGCCACAGGCACACUGAAAUGAGGUGUGGGAAGUGGUUCUUAGCUCGAGGCCUCUGGCUCUAAGUCGGCUCAUGUGGGAGAGCUUUUGAAUACCAGCCAGCCUGUGUGCAGUGUGACCAGCAGUUGUCUUCUGGUCUGACCCUUUAAAGUAAAAACCAUAUAGUAUCUUUCAGGGCAAUUAUGUUCACCUUACAUCAUGAUACCUUAACAGACAUUGUCUGAAAUGUGAACUUGUAUUGCUUUGCUGUUUUAAUCAGUUAUCUGCUUAUACUGAAUAAGUAGUAAUGGGCCAGGCGUAGUGACUCAUGCCUAUAAUCCCAGUGCUCAGGAAGGUAAGGUCAAAAGAUUUCUCUGAGUUUGAGGCUAUCCUGGGCUAUAUAGUGAGUUCCAGCGUCCCCCCCCCAAAAUAAAUAAAUAAAAAGAAAAGAAACACUGAGGUCAGUGGUUGGUUAAUUUUGUCUUAGUACUUGGGAAACUGAGACACCAAGCCCAUGAUCUUAAGGGUAGCCUGGGCUACAUAGUAGCAAGACCUGUCUUUAAAAAAAGUCAAGACCAGACCUGAUAGAAAAGAAUGAGGAAAAUGCCCAGACAGUAGUGUGGAAGCUUACUUCCUCAAAUAUCCCAUAUGUCUCAAGAUACCUAGGAUUUAGGCUUUCAAGAUUUCUAAAAUAUGUGGCUGCAGAAGUGGCUCAGUAAUUAAUAGGGGUCCUGAGUUCAGUUCCCAACACUCACAACCACAUGUAACUCCAGCUCCAGGGUAUCUGAGACCCUAUUCUGACCUCCUUGGGCACUGAUGCUAGCGUGCACGUGCGCGCGCACACACACACAGAGACACACUCUAAAAUAAAUCUUUAAACAAGAUUUCUAGAAUUUUAGGAACAAAGUUCAGCAAUCGCUUCUGUUGUGGUUCUUGUGCUUAGGCACGUGUGGGGUAGUUCAUAGUUAAGUCGGUAAAAUUCCUUACAGAAAAGCUUUGCUUUUGUGGCAACAUUUUUAUAGCUUGUGUGAAUUCUUUUUUUAUUUAAUGAUCUCAACCAGUAUUUUUGCACAGUUGUGACCAUGUGUGGUGAUGUCACCAUAACCAAAGUAUAUGCAGCAGCCCUUGUGCAUUACUGUUCCCCUGGUACUGUGCACUUGCAAUGUCCAAAUACAAACCCUUGUGAAUCUGGAGGGUCUGGCAGCACAGCAUGCCCCGUGACCUGCCUGCUGUGGCGUGAGCUGUGACCAGCAGCAGGCUUCCUGCCCUGUGAAGUCCAGAAUUGCUCUCAGGCAGGGGAGUAAUUAUAAAAACUAACCCUGUAACAAUAAAUCUACCUUAGCAGAAAUGUUUGUUUUAUGUGAACUUGUACAGUAAAUAAAGUGGAAAUUAUGAGUAA